RNAcentral lists this ribosomal RNA (489 nucleotides) under uncultured bacterium. Its description in RNAcentral is "bacterial SSU rRNA". It matches the Rfam family "Bacterial small subunit ribosomal RNA", at positions 29 to 509 of the family's 1533-position model. The record is from RNAcentral.
AUGAACGCUAGCUACAGGCUUAACACAUGCAAGUCGAGGGGCAUCAUGGAGGUUGCUUGCAACUUCUGAUGGCGACCGGCGCACGGGUGAGUAACGCGUAUCCAACCUUCCCUAUAGUAUCGGAUAGCCCGGCGAAAGUCGGAUUAAUACGGUAUGUGAUUCAAAGCGGCCAUCUGAUUUGAAUGAAAGAUUUAUCGCUAUAGGAUGGGGAUGCGUCUGAUUAGCUUGUCGCGGGGUAACGGCCCACCGAGGCAACGAUCAGUAGGGGUUCUGAGAGGAAGGUCCCCACAUUGGUACUGAGACACGGACCAAACUCCUACGGGAGGCAGCAGUGAGGAAUAUUGGUCAAUGGACGAGAGUCUGAACCAGCCAAGUAGCGUGCAGGAAGACUGCCCUAUGGGUUGUAAACUGCUUUUAUAGGGGAAUAAAGUUCACUACGUGUAGUGUUUUGUAUGUACCCUAUGAAUAAGGACCGGCUAAUUCCGUGCC